UGGGGAAUAUUGGACAAUGGGCGCAAGCCUGAUCCAGCCAUGCCGCGUGAGUGAUGAAGGCCCUAGGGUUGUAAAGCUCUUUCACCGGUGAAGAUAAUGACGGUAACCGGAGAAGAAGCCCCGGCUAACUUCGUGCCAGCAGCCGCGGUAAUACGAAGGGGGCUAGCGUUGUUCGGAUUUACUGGGCGUAAAGCGCACGUUGGCGGACUAUUAAGUCAGGGGUGAAAUCCCGGGGCUCAACCCCGGAACUGCCUUUGAUACUGGUAGUCUUGAGUUCGAGAGAGGUGAGUGGAAUUCCGAGUGUAGAGGUGAAAUUCGUAGAUAUUCGGAGGAACACCAGUGGCGAAGGCGGCUCACUGGCUCGAUACUGACGCUGAGGUGCGAAAGCGUGGGGAGCAAACAGG
RNAcentral lists this ribosomal RNA (404 nucleotides) under Actinomycetes bacterium. Its description in RNAcentral is "Actinobacteria bacterium partial 16S ribosomal RNA". It matches the Rfam family "Bacterial small subunit ribosomal RNA", at positions 355 to 776 of the family's 1533-position model. The record is from RNAcentral. Lineage: Bacteria; Bacillati; Actinomycetota; Actinomycetes.